RNAcentral lists this ribosomal RNA (1485 nucleotides) under uncultured organism. RNAcentral's name for it is "16S ribosomal RNA". It matches the Rfam family "Bacterial small subunit ribosomal RNA". The record is from RNAcentral.
AGGACGAACGCUGGCGGCGUGCCUAAUACAUGCAAGUCGAACGAACUCUGGUAUUGAUUGGUGCUUGCAUCAUGAUUUACAUUUGAGUGAGUGGCGAACUGGUGAGUAACACGUGGGAAACCUGCCCAGAAGCGGGGGAUAACACCUGGAAACAGAUGCUAAUACCGCAUAACAACUUGGACCGCAUGGUCCGAGUUUGAAAGAUGGCUUCGGCUAUCACUUUUGGAUGGUCCCGCGGCGUAUUAGCUAGAUGGUGGGGUAACGGCUCACCAUGGCAAUGAUACGUAGCCGGCCUGAGAGGGUAAUCGGCCACAUUGGGACUGAGACACGGCCCAAACUCCUACGGGAGGCAGCAGUAGGGAAUCUUCCACAAUGGACGAAAGUCUGAUGGAGCAACGCCGCGUGAGUGAAGAAGGGUUUCGGCUCGUAAAACUCUGUUGUUAAAGAAGAACAUAUCUGAGAGUAACUGUUCAGGUAUUGACGGUAUUUAACCAGAAAGCCACGGCUAACUACGUGCCAGCAGCCGCGGUAAUACGUAGGUGGCAAGCGUUGUCCGGAUUUAUUGGGCGUAAAGCGAGCGCAGGCGGUUUUUUAAGUCUGAUGUGAAAGCCUUCGGCUCAACCGAAGAAGUGCAUCGGAAACUGGGAAACUUGAGUGCAGAAGAGGACAGUGGAACUCCAUGUGUAGCGGUGAAAUGCGUAGAUAUAUGGAAGAACACCAGUGGCGAAGGCGGCUGUCUGGUCUGUAACUGACGCUGAGGCUCGAAAGUAUGGGUAGCAAACAGGAUUAGAUACCCUGGUAGUCCAUACCGUAAACGAUGAAUGCUAAGUGUUGGAGGGUUUCCGCCCUUCAGUGCUGCAGCUAACGCAUUAAGCAUUCCGCCUGGGGAGUACGGCCGCAAGGCUGAAACUCAAAGGAAUUGACGGGGGCCCGCACAAGCGGUGGAGCAUGUGGUUUAAUUCGAAGCUACGCGAAGAACCUUACCAGGUCUUGACAUACUAUGCAAAUCUAAGAGAUUAGACGUUCCCUUCGGGGACUUGGAUACAGGUGGUGCAUGGUUGUCGUCAGCUCGUGUCGUGAGAUGUUGGGUUAAGUCCCGCAACGAGCGCAACCCUUAUUAUCAGUUGCCAGCAUUAAGUUGGGCACUCUGGUGAGACUGCCGGUGACAAACCGGAGGAAGGUGGGGAUGACGUCAAAUCAUCAUGCCCCUUAUGACCUGGGCUACACACGUGCUACAAUGGAUGGUACAACGAGUUGCGAACUCGCGAGAGUAAGCUAAUCUCUUAAAGCCAUUCUCAGUUCGGAUUGUAGGCUGCAACUCGCCUACAUGAAGUCGGAAUCGCUAGUAAUCGCGGAUCAGCAUGCCGCGGUGAAUACGUUCCCGGGCCUUGUACACACCGCCCGUCACACCAUGAGAGUUUGUAACACCCAAAGUCGGUGGGGUAACCUUUUAGGAACCAGCCGCCUAAGGUGGGACAGAUGAUU